AGAACGUAGCGAAAUGCGAUACUUGGUGUGAAUUGCAGAAUCCCGUGAACCAUCGAGUUUUUGAACGCAAGUUGCGCCCAAAGCCAUUAGGCUAAGGGCACGUCUGCCUGGGCGUCACGCAUCAUGUCGCCCCCAACCCCAACGCCUGGCUACUAGCCGGACGUUGCGGGAGCUGGGG
This 178-nucleotide ribosomal RNA is filed under the name Ilex microdonta. RNAcentral describes it as "5.8S ribosomal RNA". The stretch from base 1 to 117 matches the Rfam family "5.8S ribosomal RNA", at positions 40 to 154 of the family's 154-position model. Rfam says of the family: 5.8S ribosomal RNA (5.8S rRNA) is a component of the large subunit of the eukaryotic ribosome. It is transcribed by RNA polymerase I as part of the 45S precursor that also contains 18S and 28S rRNA. Lineage: Eukaryota; Viridiplantae; Streptophyta; Magnoliopsida; Aquifoliales; Aquifoliaceae. The record is from RNAcentral.